Molecule: long non-coding RNA, 480 nt
Filed under: Physcomitrium patens
Lineage: Eukaryota; Viridiplantae; Streptophyta; Bryopsida; Funariales; Funariaceae
Description: long non-coding RNA (PPAT_LNC004177)
Source: RNAcentral
AAAAUUCUAAUCAAAUCUUAAAUCUUAAUCUUAGACCAAAUCUCAAUAAAAUCCUUAAUCUUAAUCAAAUUUUAAGCAAACUCUAAGCAAAUUUUAAGCAAAUUCUAAGCAAAUCUUAAAUCCUAAUUUUAAAUCAAAUUCUAAUGAAAUCCUAAAACCUAAAUAAUCUCAAGAAGAUCUCAAAUAAAUUUUAAUCAAUUAUUAUAGCUAUUUGAAACCUCAAUAAAUUUUAAUUCAAUCACAGAUCUUAAUUAAAAUUUUACUUAGACUUCAAGUAAUAAGCAAUUAACCAGUAUAAAAAUUUUGAGAGAAAUGAAACUUAUCAAUUAUAAGAAAAACUCCCAAAACCUCUCAAUUGUUCACCACCAUCCUUCUCUAACUUGAAUAUUGAUCUUUCAACACUAAUUUUUCUUUGUUAAACUAUUCAAUUGUUCCAAAUAUUAGAUUAUGUAUAAAUAUUCAAGUCUCAAAUGUUCUCAC